CUCAAAUCCUACACGAACCAAUUAGAUAACAACCCUUUCUACCACCCAACUGAUGGCUUCUACCUUACCCACUCAGACAUCAUCCUCCGCCAGAUUAUCAUCGACCUUUCUGGUACCUUCUCUUCUGGUGCUUCCCAGUUUGUCUACCAUCGGGCUGGCCCACGCCAGCAAAUCUUCUUUGAUCCAAGCAGCACUCGGGUAGCUAUUGUUACCUGUGGGGGACUCUGCCCUGGGAUGAAUACGGUGAUCAGGGAGCUGGUGGUUGGGCUGUGGGAACUAUAUGGGGUGCGUCAGAUAUAUGGGAUAGUUGCUGGGUACAGAGGAUUCUAUUCAAGAGAACCGACUGAGCUGAAUCCGAAGCUUGUCCAUGACUGGCAUAAGAAGGGUGGUACAGUUUUGGAGACCUCCAGGGGUGGCUUUGAUCUCCAUAAGAUUGUUGAUUCCAUUCAAAGUCGGGGCUUUAAUCAGGUCUAUAUCAUUGGUGGAGAUGGAACAUUGCGUGGGGCUGU
This 509-nucleotide unclassified non-coding RNA is filed under the name Hevea brasiliensis (rubber tree). Lineage: Eukaryota; Viridiplantae; Streptophyta; Magnoliopsida; Malpighiales; Euphorbiaceae. The record is from RNAcentral.